RNAcentral lists this ribosomal RNA (396 nucleotides) under uncultured Helicobacter sp. RNAcentral describes it as "bacterial SSU rRNA". It matches the Rfam family "Bacterial small subunit ribosomal RNA", at positions 9 to 416 of the family's 1533-position model. Lineage: Bacteria; Pseudomonadati; Campylobacterota; Epsilonproteobacteria; Campylobacterales; Helicobacteraceae. The record is from RNAcentral.
GAGUUUGAUCCUGGCUCAGAGUGAACGCUGGCGGCGUGCCUAAUACAUGCAAGUCGAACGAUGAAGCUUCUAGCUUGCUAGAAGUGGAUUAGUGGCGCACGGGUGAGUAACGCAUAGGUUAUGUGCCUCUUAGUUUGGGAUAGCCAUUGGAAACGAUGAUUAAUACCAGAUACUCCCUACGGGGGAAAGAUUUAUCGCUAAGAGAUCAGCCUAUGUCCUAUCAGCUUGUUGGUAAGGUAAUGGCUUACCAAGGCUAUGACGGGUAUCCGGCCUGAGAGGGUGAACGGACACACUGGAACUGAGACACGGUCCAGACUCCUACGGGAGGCAGCAGUAGGGAAUAUUGCUCAAUGGGCGCAAGCCUGAAGCAGCAACGCCGCGUGGAGGAUGAAGGUU